This 85-nucleotide transfer RNA is filed under the name Burkholderiales bacterium. RNAcentral's name for it is "tRNA-Leu". It matches the Rfam family "tRNA". Rfam says of the family: Transfer RNA (tRNA) molecules are approximately 80 nucleotides in length. Their secondary structure includes four short double-helical elements and three loops (D, anti-codon, and T loops). The record is from RNAcentral. Lineage: Bacteria; Pseudomonadati; Pseudomonadota; Betaproteobacteria; Burkholderiales. RNAcentral also lists the same sequence under 1 other name.
GCCGGCGUGGCGAAAUCGGUAGACGCAAGGGACUUAAAAUCCCUGCUCGCAAGGGGUGCGGGUUCGAGUCCCGCCGCCGGCACCA